GAACUGUGUUUGUGUCACCCCCUCUGGAUUUACUUCAGCCUGAGACGUUACCAGAUCAAAGGGAUACUCGCCCUCUAAAGGCUGAACUCUAUUUCUCCCCAAAAGAGAUCUGAAACUUUUUCUAAAGUCGGGAGAUAUCGUGGCAUACAACACUGGCUGGAUGAUGUGACUGAGAGGAAGAAAUACAAAAGAUACCUUCGUGAGUAAAUGUUCCAGGUCCUCCGACGUCGUCCAGUACAUGCGGACGAAGUUGAUGAUGAGGAAGGGGACUUCCACGAUGACUAUGGUGAGCGUGAUCUUGAGCGCAGUGUUGGAGCGUGUCACGUUACGGUUGUGCUGGGCGAGACCGAACAAACGCCGCUCUCGCUGGAUCACUUCGAGAUGUUUCCUCGCGAUUAUGUGUAGGUGGAUGUAGAUGAAGGGGACGAUGAUGGUGAUGACGACGAUUCCGACCGCCCACUGGACGAGGUGGAUCCUCCAUAUCCCGUAUAUCGUCCGGUAACAGUACGUUAUAUCCUCCUUUGGUGGAUCUAAGGUUAUUCUCUGCAGGAUGGUCCAGAUCAUGUAAAUAGAAGCGACCCCCCAUGAGGCGAAGAUGGACGUCUUGAUUCUACAAUCGGUAAUGAUGUAGCAAUGCGUCAGGGGUUUCAGGAUGGUGAUGUACCGUUCCAGAGCAAUGAGAAGCAGUGUAGAACACAGGAUGGAACGGUAGUAAGAAAACACAGCCUGCGUCCAGAUACAUACUUCUGGGUUUGUUACACUAUACAUUCCACUUUGUAUGUAUUCACUGAAACACCAUGCCACGAGAAAGAUGUAUGUCAGCCUGCAAGAGAACACACGAAUAACAUUAAAACUGACAUGCCUGUAUUUACACUUGAUGAAUGCAUAUUUAAUUGAUUAUGUAAAGCUUUUGCCUUAAUGAUAUGGUAGUGUGACUCAUUAAGAAAAAGGUUCUGUGUAUGAUACCUUUCUGCCAUUUUUUUUUCUUUCUUUCUCUCUUCCUCUAUCAUCUUUUUAUUUACUAUAUCCUAUUUAUUUCCCUAAUGAUGAAAUCGCUAUGUUACGCUCCGGAAUAAACGCACUCUCUCACUC
Penaeus indicus is the source of this 1092-nucleotide long non-coding RNA. RefSeq lists it as uncharacterized. The transcript has 2 exons. The record is from RefSeq and is a predicted model, not a curated record. Lineage: Eukaryota; Metazoa; Arthropoda; Malacostraca; Decapoda; Penaeidae.